GAUGAACGCUGGCGGCGUGCCUAAUACAUGCAAGUCGAGCGAACAGACGAGGAGCUUGCUCCUCUGACGUUAGCGGCGGACGGGUGAGUAACACGUGGAUAACCUACCUAUAAGACUGGGAUAACUUUGGGAAACCGGAGCUAAUACCGGAUAAUAUAUUGAACCGCAUGGUUCAAUAGUGAAAGACGGUUUUGCUGUCACUUAUAGAUGGAUCCGCGCCGCAUUAGUUAGUUGGUAAGGUAACGGCUUACCAAGGCAACGAUGCGUAGCCGACCUGAGAGGGUGAUCGGCCACACUGGAACUGAGACACGGUCCAGACUCCUACGGGAGGCAGCAGUAGGGAAUCUUCCGCAAUGGGCGAAAGCCUGACGGAGCAACGCCGCGUGAGUGAUGAAGGUCUUCGGAUCGUAAAACUCUGUUAUUAGGAAAGAACAAAUGUGUAAGUAACUAUGCACGUCUUGACGGUACCUAAUCAGAAAGCCACGGCUAACUACGUG
This 497-nucleotide ribosomal RNA is filed under the name uncultured bacterium. RNAcentral describes it as "partial 16S ribosomal RNA". It matches the Rfam family "Bacterial small subunit ribosomal RNA", at positions 28 to 507 of the family's 1533-position model. The record is from RNAcentral.